This 63-nucleotide small RNA is filed under the name Drosophila melanogaster (fruit fly). RNAcentral describes it as "small non-coding RNA 128 (Dmel_CR33915)". Lineage: Eukaryota; Metazoa; Arthropoda; Insecta; Diptera; Drosophilidae. The record is from RNAcentral.
CGCCAAACCGCUGAUCGAGAGCUGCGAUGUCCAGAUUGUCGAACAGAUCGAGUCCGCUGUCCA